AGCAGCCGCGGUAAUUCCAGCUCCAAUAGCGUAUAUUAAAGUUGUUGCAGUUAAAAAGCUCGUAGUUGAAUUUCGGGAUUGGCGCAUCGGUCGUGCCUCACGGGGUAUGAACUGGUGCAGUCAAUUUCUCACCUUCUGGAGAACCGCGAUGUCCUUAAUUGGAUGCCGCGGGGAACCAGGACCUUUACUUUGAAAAAUUAGAGUGUUUAAAGCAGGCAUUUUUGCUUGAAUACAUUAGCAUGGAAUAAUAAAAUAGGACGGCAUGGUUCUAUUUUGUUGGUUUCUAGGACCACCGUAAUGAUUAAUAGGGAUAGUUGGGGGCAUUAGUAUUCAAUUGUCAGAGGUGAAAUUCUUGGAUUUAUUGAAGACUAACUACUGCGAAAGCAUUUGCCAAGGAUGUUUUCAUUAAUCAAGAACGAAAGUUAGGGGAUCGAAGACGAUCAGAUACCGUCGUAGUCUUAACCAUAAACUAUGCCGACUAGGAAUCAGACGAUGUUAAUUUUUAAUGUACU
RNAcentral lists this ribosomal RNA (512 nucleotides) under uncultured Entrophospora. Its description in RNAcentral is "SSU rRNA". It matches the Rfam family "Eukaryotic small subunit ribosomal RNA", at positions 569 to 1076 of the family's 1831-position model. The record is from RNAcentral. Lineage: Eukaryota; Fungi; Glomeromycota; Glomeromycetes; Entrophosporales; Entrophosporaceae.